This 73-nucleotide transfer RNA is filed under the name Candidatus Aenigmatarchaeota archaeon. Its description in RNAcentral is "tRNA-Gln". It matches the Rfam family "tRNA". Rfam says of the family: Transfer RNA (tRNA) molecules are approximately 80 nucleotides in length. Their secondary structure includes four short double-helical elements and three loops (D, anti-codon, and T loops). The record is from RNAcentral. Lineage: Archaea; Nanobdellati; Candidatus Aenigmatarchaeota.
AGCCCCGUCGUCUAGUGGCCAAGGAUAGCGGGCUUUGGACCCGUUGACAGCGGUUCGAAUCCGCUCGGGGCUA